GACGAACGCUGGCGGCGUGCCUAACACAUGCAAGUAGGACGCAGUUGCGAACGGGUGAGUAAAGCGUGGGUAACUACCUAUUAGAGGGGGAUAAAUAUUGGAAACGAUCGCCAAUACCGCCUACCAGUAGAUGGACCUGCGUUGUAUUAGCUAGUAGGUUGGGUAAUGGCCUACCUAGGCAACGAUACAGAGACGACCGGGGAGGGUGAUCGGCCAAACUGGGACUGGGACACGGCCCAGACUCCUACGGGAGGCAGCAGUAGGGAAUCUUCGGCAAUGGGGGGAACCCUGACCGAGCAACGCCGCGUGAGUGAAGAAGGUUUUCGGGUUGUAAAGCUCUGUUGUGUAGGAAGCGGUACUUAACCAGAAAGGGACGGCUAACUACGUGCCAGCAGCCGCGGUAAUAC
Molecule: ribosomal RNA, 407 nt
Filed under: uncultured bacterium
Lineage: Bacteria
Description: partial 16S ribosomal RNA
Rfam family: Bacterial small subunit ribosomal RNA
Source: RNAcentral